CCAAAAUCCUCAAAAUCUCCAACGUCGUCAAACUGAAACCCAACCCUCAGAGAGGAGAGAGAAAGUACAACAAUGGCGGAACAUUUAGCUUCGAUAUUCGGGACAGAGAAAGAUAGAGUGAACUGUCCAUUCUACUUCAAGAUCGGAGCUUGCAGACAUGGCGAUCGAUGUUCAAGGCUUCAUACUAAGCCCAGUAUCAGCCCUACUUUGCUGCUUGCUAACAUGUAUCAACGCCCUGAUAUGAUUACUCCUGGUGUUGAUCCUCAAGGCCAGCCUCUUGAUCCUACCAAAAUUCAACAACACUUUGAGGAUUUCUAUGAGGAUUUAUUCGAGGAACUAAACAAGUACGGGGAGAUUGAGAGUCUCAACAUUUGUGACAAUUUGGCUGACCACAUGGUGGGCAAUGUUUACGUGCAAUUUCGAGAGGAAGAACAUGCUGCUGAAGCUGUUAGGAACUUGAGUGGAAGGUUUUAUGCUGGCCGUCCAAUUAUUGUCGACUUCUCUCCUGUAACAGACUUCAGGGAAGCAACAUGCAGGCAGUAUGAAGAGAAUGUGUGCAACCGUGGAGGUUACUGCAACUUUAUGCAUUUGAAAAAAAUAAGCAGGGAGCUCAGACGUCAGUUGUUUGGAAGGUAUAGAAGGAGGCGUAGCCGUAGUAGAAGUCAUAGUCCUCCACGACAUCGGGGACAUGGAGAUAGGGGACAUGGAGAUCGUCCACAUGGUGGCCGUGGUGGAUAUGGUGGUAGAAGAGAGGAUGAUAGAAAUCAGCGAUACCCUGACAAGGGUAGGAGGCCUAGAAGCCGUAGCCCUGGGCAUAGGGGAAGAAGUCCUGUAGGUAGAAGGGAUAGGAGUCCAGUGAGGGAGAAUAGUGAGGAAAGAAGAGCAAAGAUUGAGCAGUGGAACAGGGAAAGAGACCAGACUGAUAAUGGGAAUAAUGAUGUUAGUCAUGAUGCCAAUGAUAACCAUGCGAACGGGUCCGUGGAGAAUGGGGAGGAUUACUAUGACCGUCCUCAACAGUAAAUGGAUGAAGUGGUUUAGCAGACAACAUUCACUACUUUUGGUGGAGUACAGGUUCACUGCUUAAAGAUAAUGAAAGUAGAACCUUUUUUCCAACUUUUGAAAUGAACAUGAUAUAUUGGUUCAUAAGCAAUAUGGAGAAUGAAAUGUAUUCCCAUCCGCCUGGAAAUCAGUUGCAAAUAUGUUAUAGGUUUGGUUUCAUGCUUUAGUGGGAACUAUCCCAGUAUUUUUUUUGGUCGUUUAAUGUUUAAUCUUACGUAGUUUGUCAAGGUGUGCAGGUCCAGGUUUUCCUGUAAGAUGGCAGAGACCUCGUCUUUUAUAGCAGCUUAUUGUUAUAUUUCUAUACAGGUUGUCUGUUUUCAAAAUCAGCUCGUUUGCAGAAUCUUUUUCAAAGUUGAAGUGAUGGAUGGAUUGAAGAUUUUACGCGCCGGCGAGAAGCUUCAGUUUAGUUCUUGGUGUGUAAUAUUUUUUUCUCAGGGACCAUAUUGCAGUGUCAAAAAGUUUCUUUGCUAGUGUUUUGGGAGACUGUUGUGCUUUCAUAUUGAAGACUAUCUAACUGGAAAUUUGGAAACGUACUGAAUUCUAUCCUGUUUUUCAGUUUUACUUCACUCAUCAUUGUUAUUCUAUAUGUAACUUACAAAAGAUGCAAGGCAGGAGGCAAAAUCUUCAACCCA
RNA transcript from Chenopodium quinoa (quinoa), 1691 nucleotides. It is a transcript of the gene named splicing factor U2af small subunit B-like, with no coding region annotated. Lineage: Eukaryota; Viridiplantae; Streptophyta; Magnoliopsida; Caryophyllales; Amaranthaceae. The record is from RefSeq and is a predicted model, not a curated record. The transcript is spliced from 7 exons.